This 423-nucleotide ribosomal RNA is filed under the name Triticum aestivum (bread wheat). RNAcentral describes it as "partial small subunit ribosomal RNA". Lineage: Eukaryota; Viridiplantae; Streptophyta; Magnoliopsida; Poales; Poaceae. The record is from RNAcentral.
AUGCCGUUCCCUCGCGUACGUCGUCAACCGGCCGGCGGCCACGAGUAUAAAUUCACCCGUGCGCAACGCGACGCCGGGGAGAUCCAAGGAAUUGGCCGUCUCUCCGGUCGGGAUAGGUCUUCGGCCAGUGGACUUGCUGUACUUUUUGCUGGAGUGGGAUUUUUCUGUGGUACGGCUGGUGCUAUGGCAAAUGAAAUCGAUAUACCUUUUGCUGGAGUGCAGGUCCUGUGUGGUGGGGAUAGUGGUGUGGCCAGUGAAGUAUGGGUACAGUCUGCUGGAGUCGGUCCUACAUUUUGUGUCACUGGUUGUACAACCAAUAUAAGUGGGGUGCUGUCUGAUUUCUCCGGCACCACCACGUUUUUCAAGGACUUUGUUGGUGCUCCUUCAGGUUCGGCAAUCACCCUCUUCAUUUUUGAUGUAUGA